RNAcentral lists this ribosomal RNA (468 nucleotides) under uncultured bacterium. RNAcentral describes it as "partial 16S ribosomal RNA". It matches the Rfam family "Bacterial small subunit ribosomal RNA", at positions 28 to 507 of the family's 1533-position model. The record is from RNAcentral.
GACGAACGCUGGCGGCGUGCUUAACACAUGCAAGUCGAACGGAAAGGCCCUGCUUUUGUGGGGUGCUCGAGUGGCGAACGGGUGAGUAACACGUGAGUAACCUGCCCUUGACUUUGGGAUAACUUCAGGAAACUGGGGCUAAUACCGGAUAGGAGCUCCUGCUGCAUGGUGGGGGUUGGAAAGUUUCGGCGGUUGGGGCUGGACUCGCGGCUUAUCAGAUUGUUGGUGGGGUAGUGGCUUACCAAGGCUUUGAAGGGUAGCCGGCCUGAGAGGGUGAACGGCCACAUUGGGACUGAGUUAGGGACCAGAAUCCGACGGGAGGCAGCGGUGGGAAAUAUGACACAAUGAGGGGAAGCCUGAUGCAACAACGCCGCGUGCGGGAGGACGGCCUGCGGGUUGUAAACCGCUUUCGGCUGUGACGAAGCGUGAGUGACGGUAAUGGGUCAAGAAGCACCGGCUAACUACGUG